CCCCCAAUUUUUUGGAUUUGUGGACUUAACUCACCAAAACUUAUUACAACCUUGUCAAGGUUAUGGACUAAAGCGAACCAGUUAGUUUGUUCUCACUAAAGAUAAGAAUCAACUGGUGUCACGACCCAGAUUUCCCGCCAUCGGGAGUUGUGAUGGAGACUACUAAGAGGAGCUAGGCAAGCCAAAUAUCAAAUACUUCUUUAGCGAACAUCAACAAUGUUAACAACAUUUAACAAUAAAGCGGAAGUCUCAAAUAUAAUUUACUGAAAGAAAUGCGGAAGUUUAACAUAUCGUCUACCCAAAGACUGGUAUCACAUUACUCACGAACUUCUAGGAUUACUAAAUACAAUCGUUUGAAAGAAAUCAUAACAGUCUGUUUCAAUACAAGAGCUAACAAACUGAAUAAGGAUGGAAGAGACUCCGGGCCUCCGGACGUCAGCAAGGCUACCUAAAAGUCUCUAAACAGAAGGCCUGCUCCCGACCUACUACAGUUGCGGUCCGUAAGCUUCUCCCUGACCUGUGUACAAAUAUGCAAGACGUCAGCAAGGCUACCUCAAGAGUCCCUGGACUGAAGGUCUGCUCAUGAUCUAAUACUGCUGCGGUCCGAAAGCGGACAUCUGUCAGCGGCGGGAGUCUUACAUCCGAGUGAGAGGUCAGACCAACCCCAUUCCUCUGGUCUGAUCCGAACAGAUCUUGUUGAAUGAAUUGAUCCAUUGUUGUAUGCCCUACUUCUUAGUAAAUUUCUUCCUACUCGGACCCGCCGUACUUCCUUUGACUACUCCUGAGAUAUAGUGGAAACAUUUUGUUAUGGUGGAGAGUGGGGAGUGAAAAGACCAAUGCAGCAGAGAACGACUGCAUGAAUCGGAAUCCACUUAUUAAGACAGACGACCGAGAAAGAAAGG
Molecule: long non-coding RNA, 902 nt
Filed under: Nicotiana benthamiana
Lineage: Eukaryota; Viridiplantae; Streptophyta; Magnoliopsida; Solanales; Solanaceae
Description: long non-coding RNA (NBEN_LNC026649)
Source: RNAcentral